CUGCUGCAUAAUCUUGGGGAACUCUGAAAGGAGGACCUUUCGACCAGCUUCAUCUAGGAUCUUAUCAAGCAUUAUAUCCUGAAGAGCUAUUAGAGUGGUUUCAAGCAUGUCAAGUCCUGCUUGGUUUGCAAAUGAAAAAAAUGCAGAAUCCUGCAUUAAGUAGAUAAACCAUUUAGCUAUCAUCAGAUUUCCCUUGAAAAGGAAUCGUGGAGAAACCUUUCUUAUCAGAAAAGCAUAGCGUCGAAACAACAUGUGCUGAUGUUACUGACAUUCAUUUUGACGGAGCAGCACAUUAUUGAAUCAGUAUGAUGCCAUAGUUGCUUCAGAACAGC
This 332-nucleotide long non-coding RNA is filed under the name Solanum melongena (eggplant). RNAcentral describes it as "long non-coding RNA (SMEL_LNC000053)". Lineage: Eukaryota; Viridiplantae; Streptophyta; Magnoliopsida; Solanales; Solanaceae. The record is from RNAcentral.